GAUGAAGAACGCAGCAAAAUGCGAUAAGUAAUGUGAAUUGCAGAAUUCAGUGAAUCAUCGAAUCUUUGAACGCACAUUGCGCCCGCCAGUAUUCUGGCGGGCAUGCCUGUUCGAGCGUCAUUUCAACCCUCAAGCACAGCUUGGUGUUGGGACUCGCGUUAAUUCGCGUUCCCCAAAUUGAUUGGUGGUCACGUCGAGCUUCCAUAGCGUAGUAGUAAAACCCUCGUUACUGGUAAUCGUCGCGGCCACGCCGUUAAACCCCAACUUCUGAAUGUUGACCUCGGAUCAGGUAGGAAUACCCGCUGAACUUAAGCAUAUCAAUAAGCGGAGGA
This 332-nucleotide unclassified non-coding RNA is filed under the name soil metagenome. Its description in RNAcentral is "partial contains 5.8S ribosomal RNA, internal transcribed spacer 2, and large subunit ribosomal RNA". The stretch from base 1 to 120 matches the Rfam family "5.8S ribosomal RNA", at positions 35 to 154 of the family's 154-position model. The record is from RNAcentral.